UCUUCCUGUGUCCGCACAUGCCUGGCAUGUACUCACAUUCAGUCUUCAUAGGCACUAUACAUAUAAGGCCAUGCUAAAGGUGAAAAACGGGUUUAGAAGUGACUAUCGCCUUUCUCAGCAACAGUGGAGUCAGAAUUUGAACUUCGGACUCAAAGACUACCCAUUCCCACUGCAAUAUCUCCCUGGCAUGGAGCUGUGGUACAGAAGCACAUAUGUGGAGAACAGAGGACAACUUUUGGAAGUCCAUUCUUUCCUUCCAUCUUCUGCGUAUUUGGGGGUUGAACUCAGAUCGUUGCGCUUGUGUGCCCAUUGUUCGUUUGCUGAGCCAUCUCACAGGCUCAGCAUCUAGCAUCUCUUUAAUUCCAUUGUCUUUUUAUGGGAACAGCAUUUUCAACCCAUUUGCUGAAAGAACACUGAAGGAGGACAGAUGGUACAAUCCAGCAUUGUGAAGCUGCCAAAGGAAUGUUUAUUCCAAAGCCCAUUUUCCCAUUUGGAAUGGAACCUGCCUAGAUGACAUUGAUUGGCUAACAGAGGUCAUAUGGUCAGACCACAUAAAGUGUGUGGGAGCAUACAAGGGUCCAGAAUCCUCUGCAAAUGUGGACAGCAGCAAAGUCAAAAUACGUUCAAAUGUCAAGGAAGACAAGACU
Mus musculus (house mouse) is the source of this 647-nucleotide long non-coding RNA. RefSeq annotates it as predicted gene, 53458. The record is from RefSeq and is a predicted model, not a curated record. Lineage: Eukaryota; Metazoa; Chordata; Mammalia; Rodentia; Muridae. The transcript is spliced from 3 exons.